UUUAACGCAUAAAUAGUUAAAAACCUUUGAUUAACUACAUCGUUAGAUUUAAGCUUGUUAAAUGCAAUCUAUCUGUAUUCCUCGUAAAUUUACAAGUAUGAUUCCAUUUUCCUUAGUAGAGCUACUGGAAUAUCCACUAUUUUUGUUUAAUAUACAAUACAAUAUUUUUGAAUGGUAUUUUUCCCGGUGCAGCAAAGAUUUGCAUUGCUGCUGUUUGCUGUUUGCUGGGCCCGCUUACCUUGCUUCGACUAAUUCGACGACGACUGGCUAAUUUAUGCCAAUUUAUGGCAUGUGGCCCCACCCCUUGGGGCGGUUCCCCGCCCACUUUCCCACCUCGGCCCACCUUUGAGCCGUGAGUGGUGCAGGGCCAUAUCUUAUCGGUCGAUAAGACCAUUGUUGGUACUGGACUCAGAGAUCUGUGGCAACACACUGCCUGUUGUGGGGAUCUUCUGUAAGCCGCUUACAAGGUAAUCGCUGCGAAGUGGUGGCAAUAUUUUGAUCAGCAUUUAAAUGCCUUCGAACGUUUGCAUUCAAAAAUAACCCAAAUAUUUGUGGCUAUUAAAAACUUUUCUUUCAAUUGAAUGGACAUGGCUGAACAACAUUUUUUUUUUCCGUUUGGCGCCAAUGAAAAUUUCAUCAUCGGCGACAUGGCGACAAAUGUUGUUCGCAUUAUUUUUGGGAUUUCCUUUUCGCCGCUCUCUUCGCGGCGGCAUUAAAAUUAGUUAUUUAAACGACUUUUUAGUUACACCGAGAAGGUUGGGGGUGUCCCAUGGUUGAGUCAUAAAAUCGUUAUUUUAUUGCCGCGUUUACAUGCUUGAAAACUCGUGGACAGAAAUGUAACCAAUGCGCUUCAUUAAAAUGUAGUAACAUUUAACAUAUGCAUCUCUGCAGUGAAUUUUCAUUGUUUUGCUCGUUUAUUCAUAAACAUUCCUCAAGAGUUGGUGACAACCAAUGGUUCUUGCUAUAUGUGCUCAAUUUAAAUGGUGUAAUAUUUGAGAUUGCUAUUUUAUCAGUGGAUCUAUCUAUUUUCCACACAGCUUCACGUUUUUUUUUAUUAUUUAAUGACAUCUAAUGCUUCUCGACAUGCCUCAUCAAUUUAAAUACAAUAUUAUUUAAGCUAUGCAUUUGUGAAAUGACUUUUCAUCAUUCAAUUCGUAGGUUUCGAAAUAUUUCAUGGAUCUGUUCUAUCGUUGAUAUGCAAAUGAAAACUUUCCACAGCAUUAUCUAAUGGCUUAUCGGACUUAAGAUCGCAUUCAAAGAAGUUCGGUUUCGAGUGGAAUCGAUUGAUAUUGAUGGGGAUCAAGAACUUAUCCACUUGAUUUGUACAUUGUUACACACUUCUCGCUGUGUUUUGUCAUAAUUUUAACCAAUUUAUGCACAUUUUUCCACAUGUACCGUUAGUCGCCGAAUGGCUUAUCACGUUUCUAACGGUACACGGUCUCUGGUACCUCCUACCUCUCCAACUCCAUAAACUCCCCGAAGUAUCCCGCCUGCCCCUCGGGUGCUUUUCUGGCUCUUUGUUCGCAUAUGAUUAUCGACUGUCUGCAGAGGGACAGGUGAACGAACCUCAACACUGGAAUGACUAUACGAAAUGAUCGAUUUCAUUGUUUUUCGCCAGCCGUCUAUUUCACAAAAAUCUAAUUUUUGAAAUACGCAUAUCACAUAAUUUAUGCACGAAAACUUUUAGCUAAUAAACCAAAACUCCCGAAAGAGUCCACGUUAAAUGGGGGGGAUAAUUAAGGCAAAUUUAUGGCAAGAGUUCCCUGAACCCUACAGAAAUAUAAGAUCAUUCUGAACUUUCACCACAGCCAAUUUGACAUUUGAUGUUCCACGAAAACGAAUUUAUAAGCGUGCCGCUCUUUACCAUCGCCCCAUUUUUACCAUUACCCCGCCCACUAUUUAUUUAACAAGAAACAAAAGUGUUAAGACCCGAAAAGAAAUGUGUUCACAUUCAGGCUACAAGUUAAUUAGCCACAGAAAUAGACAGCGAAGGAGCGCGAGAACAGAUGAAAAGAAACCAAUAUGAAAGCUAUAGAUACAAGAUACAUGGGUAUCCAUAAGAUAGCCAGCCAGCCAGUCGGCCGUCCAUGUCAACAAACAGUUCGACACGCUCGAUCGGCCAUUAAAAUUGUUUUGCCCGGCGAUCGGCGGAUCGGUGAAGUGAAGUGAAUGUGAAUUUCAUGUUCCAUUGGCCAGAACUCUUUCGAUCCCGCUCAAGAUCUCCCCAUUCCCGCGAUAUCUGUCACACAGAUCUGAAAGGGGCCUUCGGCAAUCAUAAAUCUCUCGACACCUCGGUGAGAUUUGAUCUAAAUUUGCGCUUAAUAAUAAACUCUCGGUUCCUGCCAAAAGUGAAGAUAAAAGAAGCGAACGUAUUAUUCGCAGGUCAAAGACUUUGGCUGACUCCGCUUGAUGAACCCUCAUCCGCAGCGCUCUCUACUUUUAAAUAAUUGCAAUAACCAAGGCCCACAUACAACGUGGUCGACCAAGUGCUUUCAAAUGAGACAUGGCCACAACAGAUUUUGGGCCAUAGUGCGAUGAUUGAUCGUUCGUGCGCCACUCUAACAAAACGAGAAGCUCCCAAUCCCAAUAUCAUAAAGUGGGAAGUAUGGGAAAACCACUUCAGUACAAGUACUCAUGUUUGGUAGGCUUGUUUGUGCUGUCUUUCUUCUUUGAUUGUCUUUGCGAUCGUUGACAUUCGAUUGCUUCGCCAUGGACAGCAAUCGAUUGAAAUCGUAUACAUAUGUGUUGCACAGUGCGCACUAAAAGUUGUUGCUUAAGAUAAGAUAUUCAGCAGAAAAUAAGUAGUUUCUUGAGCAAAUUUAAAUUCAACCUUUAGCGUAUCUGCUAACCAACACCUUGCAAUUAACCCAGAUAAUUAGUUAAUUGGUCUUUCAAAAAUUAUCAUUAACAAGCUCAAAACAGCGUUAGCUAAUGAGCAUUGAAAUUCAAUAUUUUCGAGGCGCACUGUUGCCGCGUAUCUGAAUGUUUCGAUCUAAAUAUAGCGGGCGCCGUGACACUUGACUAUAUCUUGUAUCUUGUAUCUCGAACGCUUGACCAUGUGCGGUUUGCGACCAGUUUGUGGGCGUGUCGUCGAUGGUCGACGAUCGGCGAUCAAUGAACGACCAAGACAGAGGUUAAUGCUAAGGCGACCAAGGCUAGUGCAUCGGAAUUGUGGUUCAAUUGAGUGUCGCUGAGCUUUCAGGGGCUCUGUUUUGUUUUUUUUUUGUAGUCCAGUGUUCACAGUUACAACCGUAUCUAUGCCUUAAAAGGCGGCUGUCUUUGAGCCUCGUGUGUCAUUGCCGGCCGGAGGGGCUGAACGCACAUUAGCGGUACAGAAAGGCACAAACCCAUCAUAGCCAUAUCAAAUUUCGCGGCUAGGCCAAGAUAAUUGAUUGGUAGAGUUGGUCGGAGCUGUAGGCUUCAGGCAGUAGCUGUGUAGCUGUAGUUGGAACUUGGCUUUCGGCUUUGGGUUUGGCUCAAAGUCAAAGCCGCACGCCCGCAAGUGCUGACAUUUGUUGGGUGUCACGACUCGGCAAACUGGCAGCCAGAAGACUGAAGACAACUCCUGGCAUCUUGAAGGCACAAACAGUUUGUGUUCUAAGUCGGUCGCAUUGUCAGUUAGUCAGUUAGUCAGCUAGUCAGUCUGGCUGUUAGUCACUCACGAACUGUGGAACUUUGGAAACUUUCUUCCGUGCCGCAGAAUGACAGCGGCAGAAGCUGCAGCAGCCCAAAGGAGGCCCAGCAUCCACCCAGAUGCUCAUCAUGAUGUCAUUGAUCCCGGACCAUCUCUUCCCAGUUGCAACACAACAGGCAUGGAGCAUUGUUCUGCAGGAGGCACAAGUUGCCGUCGUCGUGGGUUUUAUCGCCUUUUGCUGAUCGGCUGCAACUUGCGGUACUUGCUCGGUUCAAGAGUCAGCACUUACUAGUCACAGUGGCGGUCAAAAAAAUAUCACUCAAAAUAGGUGCAAUAUCUUAAGCAUUUCUAAGCCUUCAAAAUCAUUCUUAAAGUGUGAUUGGAGCACCUUAAAAGAUGCACCUUAAAAGGGAAUGUAACUGAGUGUUAGAAUGUACCUUGUUCUAAAAUAGUUUGUAUCCCCUUUUUUUGCAUGAGGAAUAUAUCUAUGCUUCUAGAUCUACUUUCUUGACCUCUUCUGUAUCUGCCACAUGCAGUUGCAGUCACAGUGGCAGAUGCAACCAACAGUUACUGCCUGCAACAUUUUUGUGAAAAUUAAUUUAACACGAGCUGACGACUAAUUUUGCAAGUGCCACCAUGCCCCCCAAUCGCCUUUAAGAAGCCAACCAAAUUUCAUUAUAUAGAAAUUUUUGGUUUUGGGUAAAUUUUCUUUAUGACUUCAUAUGGCUUCGGACAGCUGCAAACUUGGCGGCAUCGCUUUAAUAGCCUCAACUUUUGGCAACAAAAUACGAACAAAAAAAAAAAAUACAAAAAGAAAAUAACGAACCCAAACUUGUUUUGGCCACAGAAACUGGUUCUCUUGGCCAAAGAAGAAGUUUUCUGUUGUUAUUCCUUUUUUUUUGUGGAUUUUUCGUGAAUUUGUUUCUAAGUUGGGCAAACGCAUGCCAAGUCGAAGCUAAGAGGCUAAGAGAAGAUAUUAACUAAAUGAUAAUGCUUAGCAGGUAGUUAAGGGCUUGGUCCGUCCAGAAAUUGCCUCGUCCACGAGCUUAAGCCAGCUUCCUCCUUCCAGCGAUCUUCUGAAGCGGAAGUCACCAUUUGGGCUUUGGCUUCUAUGGUACUUCUUGGCUACGUGCUUUUGGCCAAGUCGUUGGUAUUUCAGUUCGCCGACUUUACUUGGCGACUUGGAUUUCCGCUUCUGUUUCCACAAAACUCUGAUUGAUACAACGCAAACUCAUUGAACCAACAAGAUCAGAACGUGAAAAUCCACUUGGAAAACCGUCUGUCUGUCUAUCUAUCUGUCUGUCUGUCUAACUAACUGACUGUUUGAGUGCUGCCCCCAAUGGAAAUUCAUUUUCAUCGCCUCAAUCAACAAUUUAAUUCAAUUAAGUUUUGAAAUGUUUGUGGCACGUCGGCCGAACUGCAUGAAAAAAAUAACAAAACAUACUGUAAGUAAACGAAAACAAAGCCCCCAGAAAGAAUGCAACUGCAAGGCGCACCAAAUGUGUUUAAUUAUCAGAAACGGAAUUUUCAUGAACCACCAACUAAAACAAAUGCCAAUAAAAAAUGUGCAUAAAUUUGAAGACAGGUCUCUGCUGCCGGGCAGAACGUGCAAUUGGCCGCUAUGGAAAAUCGUUUGGGAAUGUUGGCCAAAAACGGUGCGGUGCGCUUUCUUGGUACUGGCUAGUACGCCAAUCUUGGCUAGCAGAUCGUUUUCCCAGGCAAGUUCAACAAAAUUGUGGACCAGCUGAAAGGGCCAGUAAUACACGUAACACUUUAUUAUUAUACAAAAUAUCAAAGUCGUUAUUAACCAAUUUUUAAGAGUUUUAUUAUAGCAUCAACUGGGUGCAUACAAGUUCUUAAUUUAGAGAAAUGUCGUCAUUUCUUUUAUUAAGCUAAAAAGUUGAUUUUUAAUAUCGUUAACCUCCUAAGGAAAUCAUCCAUAAUCAUCCAUAAAUAUUGCCGAAUAGGAACAGCUCUCAUUUGCAUAAUCGUUUUGUCACUCCAGAGCGGGAUUCUUCUCCUUUGAUUAAUGAAUGUAUUAAUAUAGCGUUAAUGACUUGGACCGGCGGACAUUCAUUCCAGAAUUAGCUCAGAUUAUGCCAAUCCGUUGAACAGCUAUGAAAAAUCUGGUUCUCCAGAGAUCGCUGAGCUCUACUCUAAGUAACUCUAAGCUGCUUAACCGCAAACUAGUUUGGUUAUUUAGACUUUACGUGGAGAUACGUUUCAAUUUCGCCAACUGUAUUCGGCAAGUGCAACUGCACAGCAGAACGAGGCAAAAGCUAAUCGACGGAUCGCGACUUGUAUCUUAUAAAUACACCACAAUUUAUGCAUUUGCUCGCAUUUGCCUAAGCAAAGAACCGUUAAAUGUUCGCGAGCCUCUUAAUUAAAGUCCAUGGAAUCCAUAGAAUCAACAGCAGGGGGAGAAACACCAGCACUUGGCGGCGCAAAAUGAUUACGUUCUUGUUCUCCUUUUUUUUUUCGCAGUGAAUGGCCGCCACUUACAGAAACCAAUUUACACGGCCGAAAAGCUUGCUCAAUUUAUGUGAAUGUGGAUGAGCAAAGGCAGAUUCAGAUACAGAUACAGAUACAGACUUAUAUCUGGUAUCUGAAAAUUCAGUUUAAACAAACGCCGCAUGACAUUGAACGGCAGACGGACGGCGGAAUUCUCUCCGUUUCCUCCAUAAAUUUUGGCCAGUUUUGUAAUAUUUUGGCCAUAAACAAAAAGUACUAAAAAAUUGGUUUCUCUUCGCCUUUUAAAUGUAUAUUCAUUCCUCUGUUUCGAAUAAAGUAAUUAAGAGUCUCAUUGAGAGGAUAAUAAAUCAAUUUCGCUUGGCUUCACACUUGAGAGAAGGGAGAACCCAACGUAGAAAAUGCAAUGCCAAAGCCAGCGAUUUGCAAUAAUGCUGAUGAUGAUAUCAUAUGCGGGAGGAGUGUUUCUGCUUGGCAAUUAGCCGAUCUGGGUGUUUUUGCAUUCACUGGGUAGUCAAGCUGCUUAUUAUUACAUAGAACACCGCUUUUCCGAUUGCAAAUGCGAUGAGUUUGGAGGCCGGACGGGUUUUUAGACGAUGUUAUAUAACCAACUGAAUCGUGACUAAUGGCAACAGCUUUGCGUUUGCUAAUAUGCAUGGCAGCUUAUCAUUCACUUCGCGGUAUCUGCUGUGAAAGGGGGUCAGAAAAAUGGGCACUAAACUGCACAGAAUCAAUUUGAAAUGUUAAAUACUCUACAACCAAUUCUGGGAAGAAGGCUUUUAAGAUUGUUUCACUUUACAUACAUUAUCUCAACAACUUUAACUACACUUAGCUUAUCUAUUGUUGAUAGAAGUCUUAGCAUUGACCUGAAUGCACAAGCGUUUAUAGAUCUUUCCGUGUAAGUGCACUUUUGAUUACAGAGAUACUGCUAGGCACUAUCUUUUAUUGCUAUUUAUUCACUUAAGUGGUAUCAGUAACCUAAGUUUACAGGUCAAUGGAAUUAAAUAUUAGCUUCCAUUGUUUUAAAACUGAUGUUACAGUUUAAUGUAAUAUUGAUAGUACUAUGAAUGUGGAUGACGAAAUCAUUUUCAAGAACUUUCGUUUGUCAUCAGAUCUUUGGAUACACAUGAAAUCAGAAGCAUGAGCGAAGUUGCUCACGCGGUGAUCAAGAGCAUUGAACCUCUAAACUUUUGUUGUACUUCUUCAUUUUUAUGACUUUUGGAAGUUUCCAUUUCGAGAGUGUUGAAUAGUUUUUACACAUGCCCGGCGUAACAAGUGGAAUUUUAUGUAUGGGAGAAGAAAAACAGUGGAAAAGGUGUCUGGAAAAUAAUUAAAUAAUAAAAAGUAUCUCUGAGUGGGAUAUACAUUUAUUUAAAUGCCAUUUAAAACAAGGCAAACCCGUUGAAUCAUCGGCAUUAAAAUGCAUGAUGACAAUGAGAAAACUAAUAAAACUUUCCCCCCAAAGAUUCUCAGAAUCUCAGCUUUAAAGUUUUUUUUAUUCUACUGUUAUGCUUCAGGAAUAAGUUUUUUAGUAGCUGGUGAUCUAGGCUUAAUUGAUUAAUAAUGAAAAUUUUUACACAAUUUAUUUACGCAUGAUUUCAUGAUUUGAUGGGCCAGUUGAACCCAAGUUCAAGUUCAGUUGGCACAGUCGGCGACAGGAAAAAAAAAAUAUAAUUAAAAAUUAUUAUGUCACGCAAUGUUUACGAGUGUUUGUCGGCUCAUUGCGCAAUUGCGAACGAACGCUUCGAUUUCUAUUCACAUCCACAAUCGAUGAAAAUCCGAAAUUGACGUAAUGUGUUUUUGAUUGAACAUUUUGGGGCACGUUUCAAUACCGAGCAGGCGCCGCAUGAGUUGCCAAAUCAAAACUACAAACAGUUUGUGAAUGAAUAGCUUUAAAUUGGCGUGUUAAUGACAACAACAACAGCAACUGCAAAACUGUAAAUAAACAUUUUCCAUAUGGAGGCACUCCAUGGAACUCUCGUGGUGAGCCAUAAUAACAUGCACACUUAUGGCCACAAGGAAAAGCUGAAAAACUGAAUAAUUAUUCAUUAGCCAAGUGCCAAAAGCGUAUUCAAAUGAAGUUGCCCAUGCGAAAACCCAAAACCAAAACAUGUGUCAGCCAUGUCAAUGCGUUUUGGCCCAUACCGAAAACCGAAAACCGAAAACCCCAAAAAGUCGAAGCUCGAGUGCAUUUGUGCUCUUUGGCCAAAUGCGGUUUUUCUUUCAACUACAGCUUCAAGUUGUUUAGGAUGAUUUCUCUCCCUCUUUUUCUUGGCAAACGAUUUGCCGGCGGAAAUUUCAUAAUCAUGGUAAAAUGAAAAUGUUACAUUUUAUGAAAAUGUAUUAUUAUGUCCAUCAUAAAAAUGCCAUUGAAUGACACUUGCGCUUGUACGCUGCACUCCAAAAAACCACCUCCACGAAAUAUUUUGACAGCAGCAAUUUCCCAGUUCCCCCCUGAAAUACAAAUAAAAACCCCCCCCACCUCCCAUCGCA
Molecule: long non-coding RNA, 8596 nt
Organism: Drosophila yakuba
Lineage: Eukaryota; Metazoa; Arthropoda; Insecta; Diptera; Drosophilidae
Exons: 2
Source: RefSeq, a predicted model, not a curated record